CAGCAGCCGCGGUAAUACGUAGGGGGCAAGCGUCGUCCGGAUUCAUUGGGCGUAAAGCGCGUGUAGGCGGCCAGAUAAGUCCGCUGUGAAAACUCGAGGCUCGACCUCGAGAUGUCGGCGGAAACUAUCUGGCUAGAGUCCGGAAGAGGAGAGUGGAAUUCCUGGUGUAGCGGUGAAAUGCGCAGAUAUCAGGAGGACACCCGUGGCGAAAGCGGCUCUCUGGGACGGUACUGACGCUGAGACGCGAAAGCGUGGGGAGCAAACAGGAUUAGAUACCCUGGUAGUCCACGCCGUAAACGAUGGGUGCUAGGUGUGGGCGGUGUCGACUCCGUCCGUGCCGAAGCUAACGCAUUAAGCACCCCGCCUGGGGAGUACGGCCGCAAGGCUAAAACUCAAAGGAAUUGACGG
Molecule: ribosomal RNA, 408 nt
Filed under: uncultured soil bacterium
Lineage: Bacteria
Description: bacterial SSU rRNA
Rfam family: Bacterial small subunit ribosomal RNA
Source: RNAcentral